AAUAGAUACCCGGGUAGUCCACGCCGUAAACGAUGUCGACUUGGAGGUUGUUCCCUUGAGGAGUGGCCUCCGGAGCUAACGCGUUAAGUCGACCGCCUGGGGAGUACGGCCGCAAGGUUAAAACUCAAAUGAAUUGACGGGGGCCCGCACAAGCGGUGGAGCAUGUGGUUUAAUUCGAUGCAACGCGAAGAACCUUACCUACUCUUGACAUCCAGAGAACUUAGCAGAGAUGCUUUGGUGCCUUCGGGAACUCUGAGACAGGUGCUGCAUGGCUGUCGUCAGCUCGUGUUGUGAAAUGUUGGGUUAAGUCCCGCAACGAGCGCAACCCUUAUCCUUUGUUGCCAGCGGUUCGGCCGGGAACUCAAAGGAGACUGCCAGUGAUAAACUGGAGGAAGGUGGGGAUGACGUCAAGUCAUCAUGGCCCUUACGAGUAGGGCUACACACGUGCUACAAUGGCAUAUACAAAGAGAAGCGACCUCGCGAGAGCAAGCGGACCUCAUAAAGUAUGUCGUAGUCCGGAUUGGAGU
Molecule: ribosomal RNA, 527 nt
Filed under: uncultured bacterium
Lineage: Bacteria
Description: bacterial SSU rRNA
Rfam family: Bacterial small subunit ribosomal RNA
Source: RNAcentral